GCCGGCAUAGCUCAGUUGGCAGAGCGUCGGUAUCGUAAACCGAAGGUCGGGGAUUCGAGGUCCUCUGCCGGCA
Molecule: transfer RNA, 73 nt
Filed under: Levilactobacillus bambusae
Lineage: Bacteria; Bacillati; Bacillota; Bacilli; Lactobacillales; Lactobacillaceae
Rfam family: tRNA
About the family: Transfer RNA (tRNA) molecules are approximately 80 nucleotides in length. Their secondary structure includes four short double-helical elements and three loops (D, anti-codon, and T loops).
Source: Rfam by way of RNAcentral